ACACUUACCUGCCAGGGGAGAUACCAUGAUCACAAAGGUGGUUUUCCCUGGGCGAGGCUUAUCCAUUGCACUCUGGAUGUGCUGACCCCUGCGAUUUCCCCAAAUGUGGGAAACUCGACUGCAUAAUUUGUGGUAGUGGGGGACUGCAUUCGCGCUUUCCCCUG
This 164-nucleotide small nuclear RNA is filed under the name Aotus nancymaae (Ma's night monkey). RNAcentral's name for it is "U1 spliceosomal RNA (ENSANAG00000010456.1)". It matches the Rfam family "U1 spliceosomal RNA". Rfam says of the family: U1 is a small nuclear RNA (snRNA) component of the spliceosome (involved in pre-mRNA splicing). Lineage: Eukaryota; Metazoa; Chordata; Mammalia; Primates; Aotidae. The record is from Rfam by way of RNAcentral.